UUGAAUCAAGGAAGGUUAGACCUCCCAUGUAUCAAGGCUAACCACCAAUCUUUAACUCAUUGAUCAAAAAAGAAAAAGAAGAAGAAGAAGAAGAAAAAGAAAAAGAAAAUUAAAGUACAUUAAUGGAAAAUGGAAAGAAAUAAUCAACAAGCAUUGACCAAAGAUAUAUGAGAUCAAGGUCAAACAAUGGUAAACAGAAGUAAGAUGAAGAUUAGAAGUCAAGAAACAAAAAUUCACUUCAAAUCAAUUAAAAAUAAUAAAGAAAGGUCAAACUUCAAAUUCACUUCAAAUCAACUUUGACAAAACAUUUC
This 311-nucleotide long non-coding RNA is filed under the name Lathyrus oleraceus (garden pea). RNAcentral's name for it is "Pisum sativum (pea) long non-coding RNA (PSAT_LNC005013)". Lineage: Eukaryota; Viridiplantae; Streptophyta; Magnoliopsida; Fabales; Fabaceae. The record is from RNAcentral.